RNAcentral lists this ribosomal RNA (388 nucleotides) under uncultured Hyphomicrobiales bacterium. RNAcentral's name for it is "bacterial SSU rRNA". It matches the Rfam family "Bacterial small subunit ribosomal RNA", at positions 822 to 1208 of the family's 1533-position model. Lineage: Bacteria; Pseudomonadati; Pseudomonadota; Alphaproteobacteria; Hyphomicrobiales. The record is from RNAcentral.
GUUAGUGGGUUUACUCACUAGUGGCGCAGCUAACGCUUUAAGCAUUCCGCCUGGGGAGUACGGUCGCAAGAUUAAAACUCAAAGGAAUUGACGGGGGCCCGCACAAGCGGUGGAGCAUGUGGUUUAAUUCGACGCAACGCGCAGAACCUUACCAGCCCUUGACAUCCCGGUCGCGGACUCCAGAGACGGAGUUCUUCAGUUCGGCUGGACCGGAGACAGGUGCUGCAUGGCUGUCGCCAGCUCGUGUCGUGAGAUGUUGGGUUAAGUCCCGCAACGAGCGCAACCCCCGUCCUUAGUUGCUACCAUUUAGUUGAGCACUCUAAGGAGACUGCCGGUGAUAAGCCGCGAGGAAGGUGGGGAUGACGUCAAGUCCUCAGGCCCUUACACG